GGGUUGUAGCUGGCCGGAAGGCAUGUGCACGCCUCGAUCAUCAUCCAUCUCACACCUGUGCACACACUGUAGGUCGGUUUGUGGGGCGAGAUCUUCAUCGAUUUUGCUUUGCGGACCUUCCUAUGUUUUAUCACAAACUACUAGUUUAAAGAAUGUCUACUGCGUGUAACGCAUUUAUAUACAACUUUCAGCAACGGAUCUCUUGGCUCUCGCAUCGAUGAAGAACGCAGCGAAAUGCGAUAAGUAAUGUGAAUUGCAGAAUUCAGUGAAUCAUCGAAUCUUUGAACGCACCUUGCGCUCCUUGGUAUUCCGAGGAGCAUGCCUGUUUGAGUGUCAUGGAAUUCUCAACUUCAUUUGCUUUUGUGAAUGAAGCUUGGACUUGGAGGUAUUGCUGGCCGUACGGUCGGCUCCUCUUGAAUUUAUUAGCUCGAGCCUUUGUGGAUCAGCUUCGGUGUGAUAAUUGUCUACGCCGUUCUGUGAAGCAUAACUAUGGGAUUCGGCUUCCAAUAGUCCUUCACUGGACAAUAUCUUUGACCUUUGACCUCAAAUCAGGUAGGAUUACCCGCUGAACUUAAGCAUAUCAAUAAGCGGAGGAA
RNAcentral lists this ribosomal RNA (596 nucleotides) under Fomitopsis serialis. Its description in RNAcentral is "Antrodia serialis partial 18S ribosomal RNA". The stretch from base 183 to 336 matches the Rfam family "5.8S ribosomal RNA". The record is from RNAcentral. Lineage: Eukaryota; Fungi; Basidiomycota; Agaricomycetes; Polyporales; Fomitopsidaceae.